Chiloscyllium plagiosum (whitespotted bambooshark) is the source of this 1759-nucleotide non-coding RNA. The record is from RefSeq and is a predicted model, not a curated record. Lineage: Eukaryota; Metazoa; Chordata; Chondrichthyes; Orectolobiformes; Hemiscylliidae.
GUUACCUAUACCGAGGCUAGACUGUGAACCUAGAUAUUCAUUCAACUAGUGAAACAGCUAAAACAGGGAAACCAAUUUUGGAUAGUUAGCUCUAGCUCUCAGAUCUAAGUCAAUUAUACAAUGUUUAUUUGUCUAAAUUAAAGAGGUUUUAAGAACAGGUCCCAAUCUAUCUCAGCCAGAUGGUCCCAAUCUAUCUCAGCCUCCCCACAAUGGCAGCAUUAAUCUAAUCACUAACCUUCUCACAAAAAGUAGUUGAAAGUUGUUGUUCACCCACUUGUCAUUUAUAUAAGCCUGUUUUGUCCCCUCAUUUAUUUUAAUAUGUCAAGUGGUCAGUAAGAUUUCAUGGAAACAUCUGAGCUCAAUGUGUACAGCUGCAACCUCUGUACUGUCUGCUUAGAUGACAUGAUGAAGCAUGUUCAGUAUAUGUGAGUCUGGGAAGGAUGUAGAUGUAUAGUGAUAGAGUGGCAGAAAAGAAAUCGUGCAAUAAUAAGAUACAUUUCCAUGUUUUAUUGUAGCUAGACAGUCUGCAGAUAGUCUUAUGUUGAUUUUAUGCAUUUUUAUGCUUCUAUAAAUUCUAUUGGUGACCUUUGACCAGCACUGAAUUUCCAGCAAAAAUGAUUAGAUUGAUGUCAUUAUUUCAUGGUGAUUAAGUCUGCUGGUUUAUGACAAAAUGCAGUCAAAAUUCUUUAUUGCGCAGGACCACAGCUGUUUCCUGGACAUUUACGUAAAACUGAGGAGGCAUUUAUAAUGAUUUGUCUCUUCAUAUCAUAAGGACCCACCUUCACAAUCCGAUGUUCUACUUGCUUGAGGCAUUCUGUUCUUCCUACAAUACCUCUGCAGUGUUAAUUCUUUCUUUGAUUCCUUCCAUUGCCACCACACGAUGACACAUUUCCAGCGAGGCUAUGGAUCCGUCGUGUGCAGGGUUGACAGCUCCAGCUCUGGGAAUCAAUUGACUGCAGCUGCAAAUAUCAGCAGGACGUGGUCUAUUUGAUUAAAUUGUCUGGGUCACGGAAUGGGGCACAGCCCUGAUGGCAUUCCGCAAAACAAACCUUGUGUUUUUGUCAACGUGGUUCAGCCAAAGGGUCAUCUCCAGUGUGAUAAGGAAGCUUCAGCAAAUUAACUGGCAGCUUUUUGGUCAAGGUUUGCCGUGCUGAGUCUGAUGUUGCUAUCAAGUGACUUUUUGAGAUUUUAACAUGAGCCACUGUAACAUCACCGACACUAAUUACUUCUACAUCAUUGCAAUUUUACAAGUUCAAUUAAGCUGAGGUGGAAAGAAUCUGGGAAAUGGAAGCUGAAAUUAAAAAAAAAUGUAGCAGUAGCUUUGUAGAAAACAUUUUAACAUUUCUUUUUUAAGCUGGUUAAGGAAGAAAAUGAUUCCAAAAUCAUCAUGAAGGAGGAGGCAGCUGAGAUGCUGGACUAAGAAUUGCAUUUUAAAAGGGAAGUGUUGGAAAAGCUGGAUGAAUAUAAAGUUAAUAAGUCACACCAGGUCCACAUCCAAUGCAUUCAAGAACUAUAACAAAUGCGAAUUGUAAGGUGGCAAACGCCACCUUAAUAUUUAAGAAGGGACCAACAAACAAAACAGGGACUACAGACCUGUUGGCCGUACACCAGUAAUACCACAACUUAAAAUGGGGGGAAAUGAAUACAUGCAUGAUUCAUAGUGAUCUGACUGCGCACCAUUACGUGGAUUUGCAAAUGGAAAAUUGUGUUUGACAAACGUGUUAAAAGGUUUGAAGAUGUCACAAACAAAAUUGAUAAA